UAGCUUAGAUGGUAAAGACUCUGCCUUCAAUGCAGGAGACCCAGGUUCAAUCCCUGG
Ovis aries (sheep) is the source of this 57-nucleotide transfer RNA. It matches the Rfam family "tRNA", at positions 8 to 63 of the family's 71-position model. Rfam says of the family: Transfer RNA (tRNA) molecules are approximately 80 nucleotides in length. The record is from Rfam. Lineage: Eukaryota; Metazoa; Chordata; Mammalia; Artiodactyla; Bovidae.